UACAGAGGUCUCAAGCGUUGUUCGGAUUCAUUGGGCGUAAAGGGCGCGUAGGCUGCGGGGCAAGUCGGGUGUGAAAUCUCAGAGCUCAACUCUGAAACUGCACUCGAUACUGCUUUGCUUGAGGACUGGAGAGGAGAUUGGAAUUCACGGUGUAGCAGUGAAAUGCGUAGAUAUCGGGAGGAACACCAGUGGCGAAGGCGGUUACCUGGAGCUUUGCUGACGCUGAUGCGCGAAAGCGUGGGGAGCGAUCCGG
RNAcentral lists this ribosomal RNA (253 nucleotides) under uncultured bacterium. RNAcentral's name for it is "partial 16S ribosomal RNA". It matches the Rfam family "Bacterial small subunit ribosomal RNA", at positions 524 to 776 of the family's 1533-position model. The record is from RNAcentral.